This 395-nucleotide ribosomal RNA is filed under the name uncultured bacterium. RNAcentral describes it as "bacterial SSU rRNA". It matches the Rfam family "Bacterial small subunit ribosomal RNA", at positions 28 to 414 of the family's 1533-position model. The record is from RNAcentral.
GAUGAACGCUGGCGGCGUGUCUAAGGCAUGCAAGUCGAACGGACUGUUAUUUGUAGCAAUACUUAGAACAGUUAGUGGCAAACGGGUGCGUAACACAUUGGUAACCUGCCUCAAAGUCGGGCAUAAUCCCGCGAAAGUGGGACUAAUUCCACGAUGGUCAUCGAAGGUGAGAUUCCUUCGAUGUAAAGUCGCAAGACGCUUUGAGAGGGGCCUAUGGCCUAUCAGCUUGUUGGUGAGGUAACGGCUCACCAAGGCUAUGACGGGUAGGGGGUGUGAGAGCACGACCCCCCUCACUGGGACUGAGACACUGCCCAGACACCUACGGGUGGCUGCAGUCGAGAAUAUUCCCCAAUGGCCGAAAGGCUGAGGGAGCGACGCCGCGUGCAGGAAUAAGG